AGAAUCAACGCUGGCGGCGUGCCUAACACAUGCAAGUCGAACGAGAAAGGGUAGCAAUACCUGAGUAAAGUGGCGCACGGGUGAGUAACACGUGACUAACCUACCCUGGAGUGGGGGAUAACUGAGGGAAACCUUAGCUAAUACCGCAUAAUACCUACGGGUCAAAGGAGCAAUUCGCUUCAGGAGGGGGUCGCGGCCGAUUAGUUAGUUGGCGGGGUAAUGGCCCACCAAGACGAUGAUCGGUAUCCGGCCUGAGAGGGCGCACGGACACACUGGAACUGAAACACGGUCCAGACUCCUACGGGAGGCAGCAGUGGGGAAUUUUGCGCAAUGGGGGAAACCCUGACGCAGCAACGCCGCGUGGAGGAUGAAGUCCUUCGGGACGUAAACUCCUUUCGAUCGGGACGAUUAUGACGGUACCGGAAGAAGAAGCCCGGCUAACUUCGUGUCAGCAGCCGC
Molecule: ribosomal RNA, 459 nt
Filed under: uncultured bacterium
Lineage: Bacteria
Description: SSU rRNA
Rfam family: Bacterial small subunit ribosomal RNA
Source: RNAcentral